RNAcentral lists this ribosomal RNA (427 nucleotides) under uncultured soil bacterium. Its description in RNAcentral is "bacterial SSU rRNA". It matches the Rfam family "Bacterial small subunit ribosomal RNA", at positions 965 to 1393 of the family's 1533-position model. The record is from RNAcentral.
AGAACCUUACCUACCCUUGACAUCCUGCGAAUCCCGAUGAGAGUUGGGAGUGCCGAAAGGAGCGCAGAGACAGGUGCUGCAUGGCUGUCGUCAGCUCGUGUUGUGAGAUGUUGGGUUAAGUCCCGUAACGAGCGCAACCCUUGUCCUUAGUUGCCAGCAUUUAGUUGGGGACUCUAAGGAGACUGCCGGUGAUGAACCGGAGGAAGGCGGGGACGACGUCAAGUCAUCAUGGCCUUUAUGGGUAGGGCUACACACGUGCUACAAUGGGGCGUACAGAGGGUCGCGAACCUGCGAAGGGGAGCCAAUCUCUUAAAGCGUCUCGUAGUCCGGAUUGGAGUCUGCAACUCGACUCCAUGAAGUUGGAAUCGCUAGUAAUCGCGAAUCAGCAACGUCGCGGUGAAUACGUUCCCGGGCCUUGUCACACCGA